This 305-nucleotide ribosomal RNA is filed under the name uncultured bacterium. RNAcentral describes it as "bacterial SSU rRNA". It matches the Rfam family "Bacterial small subunit ribosomal RNA", at positions 333 to 635 of the family's 1533-position model. The record is from RNAcentral.
UUGUUCCUACGGGAGGCAGCAGUGAGGAAUAUUGGUCAAUGGGCGGAAGCCUGAACCAGCCAAGUCGCGUGAGGGAAUAAGGCCCUACGGGUCGUAAACCUCUUUUGCCGGGGAGCAAGGGCCGGGACGCGUCCCGGCCCGGAGAGUACCCGGAGAAAAAGCAUCGGCUAACUCCGUGCCAGCAGCCGCGGUAAUACGGAGGAUGCGAGCGUUAUCCGGAUUUAUUGGGUUUAAAGGGUGCGUAGGCGGGCUUUUAAUUCAGCGGUAAAAAUGCGGGGCUCAACCCCGUCCGGCCGUUGAAACUG